This 1215-nucleotide long non-coding RNA is filed under the name Fragaria vesca (wild strawberry). RNAcentral describes it as "long non-coding RNA (FVES_LNC005353)". The record is from RNAcentral. Lineage: Eukaryota; Viridiplantae; Streptophyta; Magnoliopsida; Rosales; Rosaceae.
UUCUCAUUUAUCAACUCGGCAGAUGACAAGGUUCUUGUUAAUUGCAUAAUAUUCCAUAAGCCAAUAUCAGGUUGAUUUGCAAAACAAUAUCUCCUCUGUGGAAGAUCCGUCGUAUUGGGGGUGUAACUAGGAUCAAAUGCAUCAAGAAAUCCAAAAGGACCAUAAUCAAUGGUGAGGCCCAAAAUGCUCAUAUUGUCAGUGUUCAACACACCAUGAGUAAAACCAACCCCCUGCCAUUUGGCAACCAAGGACGCAGUACGUUCAGCAAUCUCCACCACCCAGGCUGUUAAGAACCAUCAUGCAAGUAAAAUGACAACAAAACAAUUAAUCAGCAAUCCAUGUGGAACAUUUGCAUCAGAAGUUAUUUGGGCAUGGCCAGUAUGGGUAGAUGUGACUAAAAGACCAACACUUUGCAUCAAGGGAGAUUUUUCCUAUUUAAAAAUCAGUACCCCAAGUGGCAAACAUAGCAAUGAAAAUGCACAAGAUAGAAGUUCAUGAUUAAUGAAGUCUUUUCUUUUCUUCCCCUUAAUCCAUGUCUUCAACAAGUUCAUGUUUAAAUGGACCAAGAUCAACAACAGACAUCUAAUUGAACUCACAUGCAUGAUGAAAAUGCAUGUUUGUGCAGUAUACAAGCGGUGAGCUAACUCUUUGUAUACGUCACAAUACGUAUAUGUAAGCGCAUAUACCUCUAGAUAAAUCCCUGAACGGCUGGACAUAAAAGGGCAUAUAAUUGCUAUUCUUUCACACCAAAAUAUCAGUUGGACAAAAGAAGCACUCAAUUUCAUCUUUCACUUUUCACUCCCCAAGGAGAGUACAAAACUAGAUGAGUUGUGAAAACUUCGAGAAAACUACUGUCCAUAUAUGUUUACAGGGGAACGACUAGAUCUGUCACUACUAACUUUGUGUGCAUGAGUACACUAACUUUUUAGACAAAAGUAAAAGAAAAGAGUAUGAGUUAACUCCUACUACAAUGGCCUGACAAAGACAUAGGAAAGCAUAAGAUAAGGAAACUAUGACCAGCAAAUUUAAUACUGAACUUGGGAUUUGACCUUUCAAUUCAUAACACAAGACGAAAAAAUUAUCAUGCAUCUUCGUGAACCUAUAAAGAUCAUUACCUGCAUACUUAUUAGAUGUUAGAUCAACGAUUUCAUGUUCUUCGUUGCCCGUAUUGAACGAUAAACUCUCACUUCUACUCAUGUUCUCUAUAUGUGGGAA